AAAACGGUCUCCUUCUUUAAAGGGACUGCUGCUGCUUUGUUGUUGUGCGUCCGAGUAACCCGCCGGGUGGAAACACAGAGCGCUGAUCAAAACCAGGACACGCAGUCGAAGGGAAGCUGUCCGCUCAUUUGAGUGGAUUUUAAUGGAGAAGAAAAAGCUUCAAAGCUCUGUCAUCCUUUGGCCAGCAGACAGUGAUGAUGAGCAGGAGAGGACGUGAUUUACAGUGUCCACAGUCCCAUCACCACAUUUGGAUUUUUCUGUUUGAGGCAACUAUUUGUGCCUCACUGGCUCAGCUUCCUCUACGUUGUCGGUGAGGAUAAGUCCCUGUUCAUAAUCUGCUC
This is a long non-coding RNA of Pygocentrus nattereri (red-bellied piranha), 341 nucleotides long. RefSeq lists it as uncharacterized. The transcript has 3 exons. NCBI's taxonomy places the organism in Eukaryota, Metazoa, Chordata, Actinopteri, Characiformes, Serrasalmidae. The record is from RefSeq and is a predicted model, not a curated record.